This is a long non-coding RNA of Neogale vison (American mink), 694 nucleotides long. RefSeq lists it as uncharacterized. The record is from RefSeq and is a predicted model, not a curated record. The transcript has 3 exons. NCBI's taxonomy places the organism in Eukaryota, Metazoa, Chordata, Mammalia, Carnivora, Mustelidae.
UCACGGACUACACGUCAUGCCCUGCCGGCGACUUCACAGUGCCUUCUGCCUGGGCUUCUCCGCAGCCCUUCCAGCUUCCUGUGGAGUUAUUCUUAAGAAAAUACAUUGCAAGCCCUAAGGAGUAACUGUGCAAACAGCUGAAACGUGCCCGGAUGCAUAUUCAUCUCUGCUGGAAUUGAAUCUUGAGGUAAACCCAGCAACUACACAUCUCAAAGUUGUAUGAGUUCAUAUGACUGGCUCCCUUGUGGAGAAGCAGCAGAACGAAGAACUAUAGUAUGUGAAGAUGCACCACCGCCACCUCAACCUUAGCACCCAGCCCAUCUCUGCCACACCCUCCAGUGAAGACGCACCACCACGCCAUUCCGGACCAUUGGAAAAUGGAGUGAGGAGAUUAGCCUGCCUGACCAGAUUUCUAGCAGGACUUUGAGACUGGGCAACUCUCCAUGCUCUUCCAUGAGCUGUGCUAUCUUCCAGAAGCUGUCAUGUUUCUCACCUUUUAUCCAAUAUUUCAAUUUUCCUUCAUUGCAAUUACAACAAGGAGGGGGAAAUUCCUUAGCAUUCCAUCUUUUGUCAUUACCUCUUGAUGAAGUUUCUUCCUCUGAAAAAAUGGUAUUGAUGUUUAUCUCAUGAUGCAGAUGUGAGAAUCAAGUAAAACAUAUUUUCAAACAGAAUAAUUUUCCCCCCAAUUUAUUUA